GAUGAACGCUGGCGGCGUGCCUAAUACAUGCAAGUCGAGCGAACAGACGAGGAGCUUGCUCCUCUGACGUUAGCGGCGGACGGGUGAGUAACACGUGGAUAACCUACCUAUAAGACUGGGAUAACUUCGGGAAACCGGAGCUAAUACCGGAUAAUAUAUUGAACCGCAUGGUUCAAUAGUGAAAGACGGUUUUGCUGUCACUUAUAGAUGGAUCCGCGCCGCAUUAGCUAGUUGGUAAGGUAACGGCUUACCAAGGCAACGAUGCGUAGCCGACCUGAGAGGGUGAUCGGCCACACUGGGACUGAGACACGGUCCAGACUCCUACGGGAGGCAGCAGUAGGGAAUCUGGCGCAAUGGGCGAAAGCCUGACGGAGCAACGCCGCGUGAGUGAUGAAGGUCGUCGGAUCGUAAAACUCUGUUAUUAGGGAAGAACAAAUGUGUAAGUAACUAUGCACGUCUUGACGGUACCUAAUCAGAAAGCCACGGCUAACUACGUG
Molecule: ribosomal RNA, 497 nt
Filed under: uncultured bacterium
Lineage: Bacteria
Description: partial 16S ribosomal RNA
Rfam family: Bacterial small subunit ribosomal RNA
Source: RNAcentral